AGUGAACGCUGGCGGUAGGCCUAACACAUGCAAGUCGAACGGCAGCACAGUAAGAGCUUGCUCUUACGGGUGGCGAGUGGCGGACGGGUGAGGAAUACAUCGGAAUCUACUUUUUCGUAGGGGAUAACGUAGGGAAACUUACGCUAAUACCGCAUACGACCUACGGGUGAAAGCAGGGGAUCUUCGGACCUUGCGCGAUUGAAUGAGCCGAUGUCGGAUUAGCUAGUUGGCGGGGUAAAGGCCCACCAAGGCGACGAUCCGUAGCUGGUCUGAGAGGAUGAUCAGCCACACUGGAACUGAGAAACGGUCCAGACUCCUACGGGAGGCAGCAGUGGGGAAUAUUGGACAAUGGGCGCAAGCCUGAUCCAGCCAUACCGCGUGGGUGAAGAAGGCCUUCGGGUUGUAAAGCCCUUUUGUUGGGAAAGAAAAGCAGCAGGUUAAUACCCCGCUGUUCUGACGGUACCCAAAGAAUAAGCACCGGAUACCUUCGU
Molecule: ribosomal RNA, 491 nt
Filed under: uncultured bacterium
Lineage: Bacteria
Description: partial 16S ribosomal RNA
Rfam family: Bacterial small subunit ribosomal RNA
Source: RNAcentral